GGUUUGCGGCACAUUCUGGCUUCUUUCGUGCUGCUCCGCGUGGUGACAGAAGCUGUAUUCGCUCCCACAUUGUCCGUCCAGUGCUCAUUCAAGCGCUGCAUGCUCCUCUCCACCUGAUGCACCCAAUGUCCCUCCGACCCACGCUGAUUGUCCGAAAGUGGGCAAAGGAUCAUUGAGCAGCAGCACUACGCCUGCUAACCUGCCAGAGGCCACUGCUGCUUUGCCUUUGGCUGAAUUCGCCUUGUUUGCUUUGCCUUGGGCUAAGUUUACCCGGUUUGGGUUUUUUGUGGCCUCUCCACAUUGCUAAUUUUUGCGUGCUUCGCUGUGGGCCUCCUAACUGGGGCAAGACAUAUUUUAACUGUAUGAGAGACAGGCCGUACUUGGGUCCUUUGUUCUUUUUGUUAAGCCGUUUGUCGGUGUGUUAUUAGUAUAGUUUUUGUUUUUAAAUAUGAUUUUCUUUCUCCUUUCUGUUUAGUUUUAUUUUAAACCAGUUUCUCUCAUCCACCCCCUCCUCCCAUUCAGGUGCUGAGUCUGCGGUGUGUCCCAUGUGGUGGUGUCCCUGUUAUGUUUUUGCAUGUUGUUGGACUUUGCUUUUUUUUGUUUCACGUGUGGUGCUCCUUCGGUCCCCUUUUCUUUGGACAGUCCAUCAUAAGUCUCAGCCCUGAUUGGUUCCCCCGUUGCUUGUCCCGGAGUGAGGUUUUUACCGUUGUCAAACCGUAAAUUGAAUUUAAUAAAAUGUAAUUUUUGUCUUUUAAA
Molecule: non-coding RNA, 756 nt
Organism: Gasterosteus aculeatus aculeatus (three-spined stickleback)
Lineage: Eukaryota; Metazoa; Chordata; Actinopteri; Perciformes; Gasterosteidae
Source: RefSeq, a predicted model, not a curated record